This 461-nucleotide ribosomal RNA is filed under the name uncultured Bacteroidota bacterium. RNAcentral describes it as "uncultured Bacteroidetes bacterium partial 16S ribosomal RNA". The record is from RNAcentral. Lineage: Bacteria; Pseudomonadati; Bacteroidota.
GACUACAGGGGUAUCUAAUCCUGUUUGAUCCCCACGCUUUCGUGCCUGAGCGUCAGUUACAAUUUAGUGAGCUGUCUUCACGAUCGGUGUUCUGUGUCAUAUCUAAGCAUUUCACCGCUACAUGACACAUUCCGCCCACUCCAAGUGUACUCAAGAACAACAGUAUCAAUGGCAGUUCUACAGUUGAGCCGUAGGAUUUCACCACUGACUUAUCAUUCCGCCUGCGCACCCUUUAAACCCAAUGAAUCCGGAUAACGCUUGCAUCCUCCGUAUUACCGCGGCUGCUGGCACGGAGUUAGCCGAUGCUUAUUCUUACGGUACCAUCAGCACCGGUACACGACCGGUGGUUUUUUCCCGUACAAAAGAAGUUUACAACCCGUAGGGCUGUCAUCCUUCACGCGGCAUGGCUGGUUCAGACUUGCGUCCAUUGACCAAUAUUCCUUACUGCAGCCCCCCGUAGG